RNAcentral lists this ribosomal RNA (427 nucleotides) under uncultured bacterium. RNAcentral's name for it is "partial 16S ribosomal RNA". It matches the Rfam family "Bacterial small subunit ribosomal RNA", at positions 355 to 774 of the family's 1533-position model. The record is from RNAcentral.
UGGGGAAUAUUGCACAAUGGGCGCAAGCCUGAUGCAGCCAUGCCGCGUGUAUGAAGAAGGCCUUCGGGUUGUAAAGUACUUUCAGCGGGGAGGAAGGCGAUAAGGUUAAUAACCUUGUCGAUUGACGUUACCCGCAGAAGAAGCACCGGCUAACUCCGUGCCAGCAGCCGCGGUAAUACGGAGGGUGCAAGCGUUAAUCGGAAUUACUGGGCGUAAAGCGCACGCAGGCGGUCUGUCAAGUCGGAUGUGAAAUCCCCGGGCUCAACCUGGGAACUGCAUUCGAAACUGGCAGGCUAGAGUCUUGUAGAGGGGGGUAGAAUUCCAGGUGUAGCGGUGAAAUGCGUAGAGAUCUGGAGGAAUACCGGUGGCGAAGGCGGCCCCCUGGACAAAGACUGACGCUCAGUUGCGAAAGCGUGGGGAGCAAACA